This 520-nucleotide ribosomal RNA is filed under the name uncultured Acaulospora. RNAcentral describes it as "bacterial SSU rRNA". It matches the Rfam family "Eukaryotic small subunit ribosomal RNA", at positions 569 to 1087 of the family's 1831-position model. The record is from RNAcentral. Lineage: Eukaryota; Fungi; Glomeromycota; Glomeromycetes; Diversisporales; Acaulosporaceae.
AGCAGCCGCGGUAAUUCCAGCUCCAAUAGCGUAUAUUAAAGUUGUUGCAGUUAAAAAGCUCGUAGUUGAAUUUCGGAAUCCAUCCGUCGGUCGGGCUUCACGGUCCGCACUGGUGUGAUGGAUUCCUACCUUCUGAACAACCAGCAUGUCAUUAAUUUGAUGCGUUGGGGAAGCAGGACUGUUACCUUGAAAAAAUUGAGUGCUUAAAGCAGGCUAGUGCCUGAAUACAUUAGCAUGGAAUAAUGAAAUAGGACGGCAUGGUUCUAUUUUGUUGGUUUCUAGGAUCACCGUAAUGAUUAAUAGGGAUAGUUGGGGGCAUUAGUAUUCAAUUGUCAGAGGUGAAAUUCUUGGAUUUUAUUGAAGACUUAAACUUCUGCGAAAGCAUUUGCCAAGGNUGUUUCAUUAAUCAAGAACGAAGUUAGGGGAUCGAAGACGAUCAGAUACCGUCGUAGUACUUAACCAUAAACCUAUGACCGACUAGGGGAUCGGGACGUAUUAGUUUAAUUUUUUAACNGUAACU